RNA transcript from Eublepharis macularius, 2095 nucleotides. RefSeq lists it as uncharacterized. The record is from RefSeq and is a predicted model, not a curated record. The transcript has 4 exons. Lineage: Eukaryota; Metazoa; Chordata; Lepidosauria; Squamata; Eublepharidae.
CUCGAGAACCGAAAAUCGGGUCAUUUGACCAAGGCGGACCAGUGAGAGCUCGAGCAAUGCUUGGCGGGAGAGUUGUUCAUGUCGUGAUUGUGCGCACAUGUUUUUUCCGACAAUCAAACUCCCGAUGGCCACAAAAUCCCUUUUUUUUCUCACCCUUUAAACUGAACAUUUUAACGUUUAAACGUUCAUCACACAACAAAAACGACAUCAGGAGAGGGGGUUGCGUGCUGCGAGACACGAAAAUUGGGUCAUGUGACCAAGCCGGACCACUGAGAGCUCGAGCACUGCUGGGCGGGAGAAGUUCAUUCCUGGUCUAUCUAACGGCUCAGAUGGCGAUGCAGAAAAUGGCUGGACGAGGAGUGUCGUGGAGGGAGAGGGAGACACUGGAUCUCAUCGACUUCUGGGGAGAGGAGAAGGUCCAGGAGUCACUGUCAAUGUGCCACAGAAACAUAGACGUCUUCGAAAAGAUCGCGGAGCAGAUGGCGGCAAGAGGGCACAAGCGCACGGCUUUGGAAUGUCGGACGAAGACCAAAGCGAUGCGCCAAGAAUACAAACGAGUGGUGGCACACAACUCCAAAUCCGGAAAUGCACCCACAACGUGCCCAUAUUAUGCCCAGCUACAUCGUAUCUUCAGGGGCGAUGCCAGCAUCAGGCCACAACGGGUGGCCAGAAGCCUCUCCCUUCCGCGCGCCGACACUCCGAGACCAGUUCAAUUUGAGGGGUCCGAGGAACUGUUUAGCCACCCGAUGGUGACCCUGAAUCUACAAUCUGUGGAUGUCACAGCAAACGAUCAAGAUUUAUUCCGUGAAAAACAACUAAAGCAGAAGCAAGCCUGAAGUCACAGUAAUCAACAAGUUUGGACAUGCACCGGUGACAUUAGAUGUGUGGGAACCUGUUAUCCUGUGACAUCGUCAAGCCACUUGGGAGUUCACAUCACUGGACAAUACAUGUUAUUCUGACAAGAGUCUUCCAUUCAUACUCGCAUCACUAAUAUCCAAACUUUCCUAAAUAUAACUUACGCUUAUGUUUCUUUCAGGGGCUGCAUCUGACCAGGAACAAUUGAUGGAAGCAUGUGAUGGGGGAGAGGUGGGAGAAGAAGAUUCGGACUUGACUCAGGUGGAUGAAAUCCCGGAGGAGCAUGAGGACGGCGGUCGUCAAAAUGUGGUCGCUGAAAAUCAGCCCGUUGAAACCGCACCAAAAACCACGGCACAGAUGUCGCCUGCAUCUCGGCUAGAAAAGGCUAGAACCCGAAGCAGACGUGUGGCCUUGCUUAGCACCGUGGCAGAAAAGAUGUUGUCUCAGGCAGAGAGAGAGGAGAACAACAAUGCCAAGGAAAGAAAACAGACAUUGACGGAGAGCCGAGAGUGGCGCAUGCAAUUUCUGGAAGCGGAGCAGAGAAGGCAUGAGGACACAAUGAGGGAGGCACAAGAAGACAGAAAGGCUUUCAUUGAGGCGCAGCAGCAGAACUGUGAGGGCAUCAACAGAGCGGUCAGUGCCUUAAGCUCCCUAACCGAAAUUUUGCUGGGGGGAAACCGUGAGCAGAGUCACCAAGCCAUGCCAGGACCAUCAUGUGGAAGGGGAAGUGUGCAUAGAUCUUCACAGGAGAACCCACCCAGAAAGAGGUGCCGUGUGAUUAAACCCAGCAAGAAAUUUGAUUUGUGAAAAACCUUUGAAAUGUGAAAUAUUACUCCUUUCUGGGGAAGUUGAGCAGGGCAUGGGCCACGGCCAAAUCCAUUUCCCAUUUACCUUUUUCCACUCUCCCACACACCCGCUGAGAGUGUGGAAUUGCCUGGAUCAACCCAUCACAGCCCCAGGGACACAAAAUUGGAGGAGGGAAGAGGAGGAGAGGCAGGGGGAAAGAACAACUCAAUUGCAUUGAGUCAUCAGAAAAGGGAGAUUGUUUGGUCCCGGUCACUUCAUGUGAAAGUUGACUUCGGCAAUAAAUAAACAUUUCAGAUAGGUUUCACAGUUUGGUUGUGGAUAGGUAUUAUUUGGUCUGAGAAAUUUUAAAACAUGACUACCAAAUUUAUUGUGUGUGUUUAUUGAAAAUUUUUUACUGUUAACUGCUAUAACAUAACCAAACUAUUUAUUGUUU